CUUGAUGGUGAUGGAAACACACGGAGAAGUGUGAGAAAACGACACGGAGCGGUUUUAAAAGUGUUUUUUAUGUUUAGUUACCCCGUUGAAGAGGCACAAGAAAUGCUCCGAGAGCCAGUGUGAGAGGCAGAGGGGGGCGGCAGUUUCUUCUCCAGCAUUGCACCAACAACCCAAUUACUGUCCACCGUACCUGCAAAAGGAGAAAUGAUCCUAAAUGCACACAGCCUGCAUGAGCUGCUCCCUCACUGAGAGACAGGAGGGGAGGGGUUGGCUCAGCAGAGGGGGCCCAGUCAGGAAAUUUGCGACAGCAAGUUGUCACUGCAACGUGUUAGUUCUCUGGGCUCUUUGUGUCAAAUUUGUUGGCCCUCGGGGGGGCCCUGGUGGCUUAGGGGGCCCCAGGCAGCUGCUUGCUUUGCCUAAUGGCAAGCUACGCCUCUGGUGA
This 442-nucleotide long non-coding RNA is filed under the name Gouania willdenowi (blunt-snouted clingfish). RNAcentral's name for it is "lncRNA (ENSGWIG00000017365.1)". Lineage: Eukaryota; Metazoa; Chordata; Actinopteri; Blenniiformes; Gobiesocidae. The record is from RNAcentral.